Molecule: ribosomal RNA, 617 nt
Filed under: Rhodotorula mucilaginosa
Lineage: Eukaryota; Fungi; Basidiomycota; Microbotryomycetes; Sporidiobolales; Sporidiobolaceae
Description: eukaryotic LSU rRNA
Rfam family: 5.8S ribosomal RNA (bases 185-338)
Source: RNAcentral
UUCCGUAGGUGAACCUGCGGAAGGAUCAUUAGUGAAUAUAGGACGUCCAACUUAACUUGGAGUCCGAACUCUCACUUUCUAACCCUGUGCAUUUGUUUGGGAUAGUAACUCUCGCAAGAGGGCGAACUCCUAUUCACUUAUAAACACAAAGUCUAUGAAUGUAUUAAAUUUUAUAACAAAAUAAAACUUUCAACAACGGAUCUCUUGGCUCUCGCAUCGAUGAAGAACGCAGCGAAAUGCGAUAAGUAAUGUGAAUUGCAGAAUUCAGUGAAUCAUCGAAUCUUUGAACGCACCUUGCGCUCCAUGGUAUUCCGUGGAGCAUGCCUGUUUGAGUGUCAUGAAUACUUCAACCCUCCUCUUUCUUAAUGAUUGAAGAGGUGUUUGGUUUCUGAGCGCUGCUGGCCUUUACGGUCUAGCUCGUUCGUAAUGCAUUAGCAUCCGCAAUCGAACUUCGGAUUGACUUGGCGUAAUAGACUAUUCGCUGAGGAAUUCUAAUCUUCGGAUUAGAGCCGGGUUGGGUUAAAGGAAGCUUCUAAUCAGAAUGUCUACAUUUUAAGAUUAGAUCUCAAAUCAGGUAGGACUACCCGCUGAACUUAAGCAUAUCAAUAAGCGGAGGA